This 468-nucleotide ribosomal RNA is filed under the name uncultured bacterium. RNAcentral's name for it is "partial 16S ribosomal RNA". It matches the Rfam family "Bacterial small subunit ribosomal RNA", at positions 28 to 507 of the family's 1533-position model. The record is from RNAcentral.
GACGAACGCUGGCGGCGUGCUUAACACAUGCCAGUCGAACGGAAAGGCCCUGCUUUUGUGGGGUGCUCGAGUGGCGAACGGGUGAGUAACACGUGAGUAACCUGUCCUUGACUUUGGGAUAACUUCAGGAAAAUGGGGCUCAUACCGGAUAGGAGCUCCUGCUGCAUGUUGGGGGUUGGAAAGUUACGGCGGUUGGGGAUGGACUCGCGGCUUAUCCGCUUGUUGGUGGGGUAGUGGCUUACCAAGGUUGUGAAGGGUAGGCGGCCUGGGAGGUGUACCGGGCACAAGGGGACUGAGAGACGGCCCAGACGCCAACGGGAGGCAGCGGGGGGGAGUAUUGCACAAUGGGGGGGAGCCAGAUGCAGCGACGCCGCGUGCGGGAUGACGGCCUUCGAGUGGUAAACCGCUUUCGCCGGUGACGAGGCGUGAGUGACGGUAAUGGGUAAAGAAGCACCGGCUUACUACGUG